Molecule: transfer RNA, 58 nt
Filed under: Cricetulus griseus (Chinese hamster)
Lineage: Eukaryota; Metazoa; Chordata; Mammalia; Rodentia; Cricetidae
Rfam family: tRNA
About the family: Transfer RNA (tRNA) molecules are approximately 80 nucleotides in length. Their secondary structure includes four short double-helical elements and three loops (D, anti-codon, and T loops).
Source: Rfam by way of RNAcentral
UGGCUCAGUGGUUGAGAGCACUGGUUGCUCUUCCAGAGGGCCUGGGUUCAAUUCCCAG